UACGUAGGGGGCUAGCGUUGUCCGGAAUCAUUGGGCGUAAAGCGCGUGUAGGCGGUCCGGUAAGUCCGCUGUGAAAGUCGGGGGCUCAACCCUCGGAUGCCGGUGGAUACUGUCGGGCUUGAGUACGGAAGAGGCGAGUGGAAUUCCUGGUGUAGCGGUGAAAUGCGCAGAUAUCAGGAGGAACACCAAUUGCGAAGGCAGCUCGCUGGGACGUUACUGACGCUGAGACACGAAAGCGUGGGGAGCAAACAGG
This 253-nucleotide ribosomal RNA is filed under the name uncultured bacterium. RNAcentral's name for it is "partial 16S ribosomal RNA". It matches the Rfam family "Bacterial small subunit ribosomal RNA", at positions 524 to 776 of the family's 1533-position model. The record is from RNAcentral.